Molecule: ribosomal RNA, 254 nt
Filed under: uncultured bacterium
Lineage: Bacteria
Description: partial 16S ribosomal RNA
Rfam family: Bacterial small subunit ribosomal RNA
Source: RNAcentral
GACAGAGGGUGCAAACGUUGUUCGGAAUUACUGGGCGUAAAGCGCGUGUAGGCUGCUUCGCAAGUCGGAUGUGAAAGCCCUGGGCUCAACCCAGGAAGUGCAUUCGAAACUGCAGAGCUGGAGUCCUGGAGAGGAAGGGCGGAAUUCUCGGUGUAGAGGUGAAAUUCGUAGAUAUCGAGAGGAACACCGGUGGCGAAGGCGGCCUUCUGGACAGUGACUGACGCUGAGACGCGAAAGCGUGGGGAGCGAACAGG